ACAGAGGGUGCAAGCGUUGUUCGGAAUUAUUGGGCGUAAAGAGCGUGUAGGCGGCUUUGCAAGUCGGGGGGGAAAGCCCUCAGCUCAACUGAGGAAGUGCGCCCGAAACUGCAGAGCUUGAGUGCCGGAGAGGGUGGCGGAAUUCCCCAAGUAGAGGUGAAAUUCGUAGAUAUGGGGAGGAACACCGGUGGCGAAGGCGGCCACCUGGACGGUAACUGACGCUGAGACGCGAAAGCGUGGGGAGCAAACAGG
This 252-nucleotide ribosomal RNA is filed under the name uncultured bacterium. Its description in RNAcentral is "partial 16S ribosomal RNA". It matches the Rfam family "Bacterial small subunit ribosomal RNA", at positions 525 to 776 of the family's 1533-position model. The record is from RNAcentral.